UUUGACAUGUACGGAAUCCUUUAGAGAUAGAGGAGUGCUCGAAAGAGAGCCGUAACACAGGUGGCUGCAUGGCUGUCGUCAGCUCGUGUCGUGAGAUGUUGGGUUAAGUCCCGCAACGAGCGCAACCCUUGUCAUUAGUUGCCAUCUACUUGGUUGGGCACUCUAAUGAGACUGCCGGUGACAAACCGGAGGAAGGUGGGGAUGACGUCAAGUCCUCAUUGGCCCUUAUGGGUAGGGCUUCACGCGUCAUACAAUGGUCGGUACAGAGAGUUGCCAACCCGCGAGGGGGAGCUAAUCCCACAAAGCCGAUCGUAGUCCGGAUCGCAGUCUGCAACUCGACUGCGUGAAGUCGGAAUCGCUAGUAAUCGUGGAUCAGCAUGUCGCGGUGAAUACGUUCCCGGGUCUU
Molecule: ribosomal RNA, 406 nt
Filed under: uncultured Rhodocyclaceae bacterium
Lineage: Bacteria; Pseudomonadati; Pseudomonadota; Betaproteobacteria; Rhodocyclales; Rhodocyclaceae
Description: bacterial SSU rRNA
Rfam family: Bacterial small subunit ribosomal RNA
Source: RNAcentral